CUGCAUCGGCGUGCUACACAUGCAAGUCGUACGAGAAAUCCCGGGCAACUGGGAGAGUAAAGUGGCGCACGGGUGAGUAACGCGUGGGUAAUCUACCUUGGAGUUCGGAAUAACACCUCGAAAGGGGUGCUAAUACCGGAUAUCGUCCCAGGGGUUUCGGCUCCGGGGAUGAAAGAUGGCUGAGGCUUGCAAGCUAUUGCUCCAAGAUGAGCCCGCGUACCAUUAGCUAGUUGGUGGGGUAACGGCCCACCAAGGCAAUGAUGGUUAGCUGGUCUGAGAGGAUGACCAGCCACACUGGAACUGAGAUACGGUCCAGACUCCUACGGGAGGCAGCAGUGAGGAAUCUUGCGCAAUGGGGGCAACCCUGACGCAGCAACGCCGCGUGAGUGAUGAAGGCCUUCGGGUCGUAAAGCUCUGUCAGGCGGAAAGAAUGUUUCCAGGGUGAACAAUCCUGGAGAUUGACGGUACCGCCAGAGGAAGCACCGGCUAACUCCGUGCCAGCAGCCGCGGUAAUACGGAGGGUGCUAGCGUUGUUCGGAAUUAUUGGGCGUAAAGAGCGUGUAGGCGGCCUCGUAAGUCAGAUGUGAAAGCCCUUGGCUUAACCAAGGAAGUGCAUUUGAAACUGCCUGGCUUGAGUACGGGAGGGGAAAGCGGAAUUCCCGGUGUAGAGGUGAAAUUCGUAGAUAUCGGGAGGAACACCGGUGGCGAAGGCGGCUUUCUGGACCGAUACUGACGCUGAGACGCGAAAGCGUGGGGAGCAAACAGGAUUAGAUACCCUGGUAGUCCACGCCGUAAACUUUGGGCACUAGGUGUUGCGGGUAUUGACCCCUGCAGUGCCGAAGCUAACGCAUUAAGUGCCCCGCCUGGGGAGUACGGUCGCAAGACUAAAACUCAAAGGAAUUGACGGGGGCCCGCACAAGCGGUGGAGUAUGUGGUUCAAUUCGACGCAACGCGAAGAACCUUACCUGGGUUUGACAUCCCGAGAAUCCCGCAGAACGCGGGCGUGCCUCUUCGAGGACUCGGUGACAGGUGCUGCAUGGCUGUCGUCAGCUCGUGUCGUGAGAUGUUGGGUUAAGUCCCGCACGAGCGCACUUUGCCUUUAGUUGCCAGCAUUGAGUGGCACUCUAAAGGGACUGCGGUGUUAAACCGAGAGGUGGAGAUGACGUCCAAGUCCUUCUAUGGCCCCAAGGU
Molecule: ribosomal RNA, 1191 nt
Filed under: uncultured bacterium
Lineage: Bacteria
Description: bacterial SSU rRNA
Rfam family: Bacterial small subunit ribosomal RNA
Source: RNAcentral